AGUCGAACGGCAGCACGGGAGCAAUCCUGGUGGCGAGUGGCGAACGGGUGAGUAAUAUAUCGGAACGUGCCCAGUCGUGGGGGAUAACGCAGCGAAAGCUGUGCUAAUACCGCAUACGAUCUAUGGAUGAAAGCGGGGGACUCGCAAGAGCCUCGCGCGAUUGGAGCGGCCGAUAUCAGAUUAGCUUGUUGGUGGGGUAAAAGCCCACCAAGGCGACGAUCUGUAGCUGGUCUGAGAGGACGACCAGCCACACUGGAACUGAGACACGGUCCAGACUCCUACGGGAGGCAGCAGUGGGGAAUUUUGGACAAUGGGCGCAAGCCUGAUCCAGCAAUGCCGCGUGCAGGAUGAAGGCCUUCGGGUUGUAAACUGCUUUUGUACGGAACGAAACGGCUCUUUCUAAUAAAGAGGGCUAAUGACGGUACCGUAAGAAUAAGCACCGGCUAACUACGUGCCAGCAGCCGCGGUAAUACGUAGGGUGCGAGCGUUAAUCGGAAUUACUGGGCAUAAAGCGUGCGCAGGCGGUUAUAUAAGACAGAUGUGAAAUCCCCGGGCUCAACCUGGGACCUGCAUUUGUGACUGUAUAGCUAGAGUACGGUAGAGGGGGAUGGAAUUCCGCGUGUAGCAGUGAAAUGCGUAGAUAUGCGGAGGAACACCGAUGGCGAAGGCAAUCCCCUGGACCUGUACUGACGCUCAUGCACGAAAGCGUGGGGAGCAAACAGGAUUAGAUACCCUGGUAGUCCACGCCCUAAACGAUGUCAAUUGGUUGUUGGGUCUUCACUGACUCAGUAACGAAGCUAACGCGUGAAGUUGACCGCCUGGGGAGUACGGCCGCAAGGUUGAACUCAAAGGAAUUGACGGGGACCCGCACAGCGGUGGAUGAUGUGGUUUAUUCGAUGCAACGCGAAAACNUACCACCUUUGACAUGUAC
This 931-nucleotide ribosomal RNA is filed under the name uncultured bacterium. Its description in RNAcentral is "bacterial SSU rRNA". It matches the Rfam family "Bacterial small subunit ribosomal RNA", at positions 60 to 991 of the family's 1533-position model. The record is from RNAcentral.